Molecule: ribosomal RNA, 493 nt
Filed under: uncultured bacterium
Lineage: Bacteria
Description: bacterial SSU rRNA
Rfam family: Bacterial small subunit ribosomal RNA
Source: RNAcentral
ACUCAAAUGAAUUGACGGGGGCCCGCACAAGCAGUGGAGUAUGUGGUUUAAUUCGAAGCAACGCGAAGAACCUUACCAAGCCUUGACAUCUCCUGCAUAACCUGGAGACAGGUGAAGUCCCUCGGGACAGGAAGACAGGUGGUGCAUGGUUGUCGUCAGCUCGUGUCGUGAGAUGUUGGGUUAAGUCCCGCAACGAGCGCAACCCUUACUGAUAGUUACUACGCGAAGAGGACUCUAUCGGGACUGCCGUUGACAAAACGGAGGAAGGUGGGGACGAUGUCAAAUCAUCAUGCCCUUUAUGGCUUGGGCUACACACGUACUACAAUGGUCGUAAACAGAAGGGACCGAAGGGGCGACCCGGAGGGAAUCCACUAAAAGCGGCCUCAGUUCGGAUUGGAGGCUGCAACCCGCCUCCAUGAAGUCGGAAUUGCUAGUAAUCGCGGAUCAUCAUGCCGCGGUGAAUACGUUCCCGGGCCUUGUACACACCGCCCGU